RNAcentral lists this long non-coding RNA (741 nucleotides) under Brassica napus (rape). RNAcentral's name for it is "long non-coding RNA (BNAP_LNC021650)". The record is from RNAcentral. Lineage: Eukaryota; Viridiplantae; Streptophyta; Magnoliopsida; Brassicales; Brassicaceae.
GUUGAGAUUUGUUUAGUGAGAAUGUAUCAUUAUGCACUAAUCAAGGAAUGCGUUAGGUGAUGAUUACUAUAAUAAUUACUAACUAAUUGGUCUUCGGUUGGCGCACGAAUUAUGAUAAUUUUAACAAAAUGAUAUCAGGGCCAGUACUUUCGACUUCGAGUUUAAUAAUCAGAUAAAUGAAAAUCUUGAUAGUUCAGUAAGUUUGAAAGUACAUAAAUGCAGCGUCGUUAAUUUCACAGGUUUAAGAAUGUCGCUAUGAGUCUACUUGAUCUGAGUUGGUACAAUGCAGUCUAUAGCAGCCAGCAAGAGUUCUUACUUUUUGUAAAAUAACUGGAUCUCCCUCCAUUCAAAAAAAGCUCUGGGCGAAGAACUUCGGAUAUGAUAUAUAGUGGUAUCGAAUAGUUCUCAUCUCCAUUCUGAAAGAGUUAUUAUAUAGAUUUAGAUCCCAAAAAAACUCAAUGUCAAACAUAUAAACAAAUUGCUAAACCCACGCACAACUAAAUAAAGAAAUUCUCGGCUUGUGGCACGAGAAUGAAAGUACAGGCUUCUUGGAUAGAAAAACAAACGUAUAACGGUUUCUUAGCCUCCUUCAUGACUUAAGUUAAAAACCUGCUUCAAUAUUUUCAAAAGGCUAUCAUUUGCUCAAAUGUUUUUUAGCUUUUAAGUGAAAGCCUAGCUCAACAUCUAAAACUCUAUCCUUAGAGCAUCUCCAAAAGAUACUCUAUAACUUCAAAUAUGAAG